AUAACUUUCUCGGCCUUUUGGCUAAGAUCAAGUGUAGUAUAUUUUCUUUAGGGUAUAGUGUUAUCUGAUACGUGGGUCAUGAUAAUUAUCCACU
This 94-nucleotide small nuclear RNA is filed under the name Prunus dulcis (almond). RNAcentral's name for it is "sRNA ncRNA". It matches the Rfam family "U2 spliceosomal RNA". From Rfam's summary of the family: U2 is a small nuclear RNA (snRNA) component of the spliceosome (involved in pre-mRNA splicing). Complementary binding between U2 snRNA (in an area lying towards the 5' end but 3' to hairpin I) and the branchpoint sequence (BPS) of the intron results the bulging out of an unpaired adenosine, on the BPS, which initiates a nucleophilic attack at the intronic 5' splice site, thus starting the first of two transesterification reactions that mediate splicing. The record is from Rfam by way of RNAcentral. Lineage: Eukaryota; Viridiplantae; Streptophyta; Magnoliopsida; Rosales; Rosaceae.